AUUGAACGCUGGCGGCAUGCCUUACACAUGCAAGUCGAACGGUAACGGGCCUUCGGGUGCCGACGAGUGGCGAACGGGUGAGUAAUGCAUCGGAAUGUACCUUUCAGUGGGGGAUAACGUAGCGAAAGUUACGCUAAUACCGCAUAUUCUGUGAGCAGGAAAGCAGGGGAUCGCAAGACCUUGCGCUGAUUGAGCGGCCGAUGUCAGAUUAGCUAGUUGGUGAGGUAAAGGCUCACCAAGGCGACGAUCUGUAGCGGGUCUGAGAGGAUGAUCCGCCACACUGGAACUGAGACACGGUCCAGACUCCUACGGGAGGCAGCAGUGGGGAAUUUUGGACAAUGGGCGCAAGCCUGAUCCAGCCAUGCCGCGUGCAGGAUGAAGGCCUUCGGUGUAACUGCUUUGUACGGAACGAAAAGACUACUCUCUAACUACAGGGGUGAAGUGACGGUACCGUAAGGAAUAAAGACACCGGACCUAACUACGUAGUCCAGCACG
RNAcentral lists this ribosomal RNA (495 nucleotides) under uncultured bacterium. RNAcentral's name for it is "bacterial SSU rRNA". It matches the Rfam family "Bacterial small subunit ribosomal RNA", at positions 30 to 515 of the family's 1533-position model. The record is from RNAcentral.